RNAcentral lists this long non-coding RNA (27609 nucleotides) under Triticum aestivum (bread wheat). Its description in RNAcentral is "long non-coding RNA (TAES_LNC006235)". The stretch from base 8127 to 8261 matches the Rfam family "MIR1120/MIR1122 microRNA precursor family". Lineage: Eukaryota; Viridiplantae; Streptophyta; Magnoliopsida; Poales; Poaceae. The record is from RNAcentral.
GUUCAUCUAGGAGCAAAGAAAAGGAGCUGUCACACCGCAAAAAGAUAAAAUAACUGACACAACAAAUGCAGGGCCAAAAGGCACAAUUCGGAGUACCUCAAGGAUAAUAGGUGCAUAAAAUUCAGUCACAAACACAUAUAAUCCUCACAUUACAUAAAACUCAGUCCUGGAACAUAGCCAGACUAGUAUUAAACAGCUAAAUUUGACCAAACACAGGUAAGGCAACUUCCACAGCCACAACCGCAUAACAAAUCAGGAAUCACUGGGACAAUGCCAUCAUCCCUCAGAGUUUCGCUGCCUGGAUGUCAGAUGAUGCUUCCCCUCCCUCCAAGGCGCCUACUUGGAUCGCUGCCUCAUCUUUCGGCGCUUCCUCUUGAGCCUCCUCAUCCUCUUCUUCUUCCACUGCACAUUAAGACGAAAUGCAGAUCAUCAGUACAAAUUGCAUAGUGCUAGAUGCGCAGGAACAUGAGAUAAUUCCACAUGAAACGAGAAAGUAGUAUGUACUUCAGAAUCAGAAGAUUGAGUGUUUCAUUGGAUAUCAUCACGUGAUUUUCAGAAACACGGACCAAUUGUCCUUCAUCAUUUCCCAAACUGCCAAUUUGGCAUUGCAAAAAGAGAACUAUUCUAAGAAGGUCGUAGCUAUCUACAAACAGGUUAGGCAAAGCAAAGUAGAUCUGCAGUCAGUUUGACAUUCAGAAUGAGUAGGAGGAUUUUAUCAUCAAAUAGAUCAGACGCCAAUUGUCUUCCUCAUCAUGCCAACCGACGCAAUUAUACAAAAUAAAAACAGUGGAAAAUGAGCUAAAGAAAUGGAUAAGCAAACGUUGUUCUCUCAGACAAAUGCCUCGAUUGUCCACACGGUGUAAUAGAAUGGAUUACAUCAGACUCGUCAUCUGUUUUCAUCAUCACAGAGAACAAUGGACAAACGAAAACAGCAAAAAAAAAACAUAAAUCUGGCUAACAUAACUAGAGGCAGUAAUUAGAUCUCAUAGAGCAAGCAAAUCUGGUCGAAAUAGCAGCGGUUCUCUCAGACAAAUUUGCCUCACUUUUGUCCCCACGGUUGAAUGGAAUGGAUUGGAUCGGACAUCUAAUCAGUGUUGAUCAUCACAGAGAACCACUAAUUACGCAAGCGAGCGGUAGCAACGGCGAGAACAAACCCUCGCUAAACACUAGCACAUGUCCAGAUCUACCUCGGUCGCGGAGCAGCUAACAACAGGGAAGGGAGAUGACGGGCAGUACGAACCUUGGCCCUCAUCGCGGCGGCGGAGUCGGUCUCGCUCUCCUGUUCGCGGCGGCGGCGGCGGCGGCGGUGUGUGGACGAACUUAGAUUGUUGACGGCGGGGGCUCUCGCCUCGUACUUAUACGGGCUGGGUGCUGAAGGGGGGGGGAAACCCUAGCGGGGUUGGACGGGUGGACGGCUCGGAUCAGCCAGUGAACGGCGUUCUGAUCCGAUUAGUAAUCUGGUUUGUGGGCCUGUUGGGCCUCCAAACAACGCCUAGGCCCACGCUAACAUUUGACUGGACUUGAUUUCCUGAAGGGGGGAAAAAGAAACUUGACCAGUCUUUACUUUUAUUCUCUUUAUUUUAUAUUACUUUAAAAAGAGUAGUGUUCCUUUUUCUGCCAGACGGAGUGAUUCGUCCAACAUUUUUUUAUAAUCACUAGCAAAAGGCCCGUGUGUUACAACGGGCCAUUGAUAUUUUAGUAUUUCAACACUGAUUGUGCACAUCAAACUGAAAUAUCUCCUUCUAUUGUUAAUUGCUAGUGAAAUAAUCGAGAGGAGAUAAUAUGCCUGAAUAGUGAAGUUGUGAGCAUAGCUUAUUUCUCCUUCUCCUUGACUCAUAUGCAUCAUUUGCUUGGGGGGCAAGCUUGUAGCAGAGUUAAACCCAAAAAAAAGUUGAAUACAAAUCAAGGGAUAUAGCAGCAUUCAACUAAAUUAGUAGUGGAGUAGAGAAGCCCUGGAGCAUAUAAAGUAAAUGAUACCUCUGACAAAGCAGGUUUAAGAAGUGGAUAGUAAGUUUGAAAACAUGAACAAUGCAUAGCAAGCUUUCGUACAUACAAAUUCCCUUGUAUUGAUGAAAACAUAAAUUCACCUAUAAAAAACUAACAAAUUUAGUUUGUAUAUAUACUCUUAGUACACAGUCGAGUCAACACAAACAAUUUGCCUAUGAAAGGAUCAAGUUGGAAUUCCAUUGCUCGAUGGGUGGACGGCUCGGAUCAGCCAGUGGACGGUGUUCUGAUCCGAUUAGUAAUCUGGUUUGUGGGCAUGUUGGGCCUCCAAACAACGCCUAGGCCCAUGCUAACAUUUGACUGGACUUGAUUUCCUGAAGGGGGAAAAAGAAACUUGACCAGUCUUUACUUUUAUUCUCUUUAUUUUAUUACUUAAAAAAGGGAAACGUUUCCUGCGGCGUGCCGGCGGAACGCUUGGCCAGUCGCGUACGCUUCGUUCGAUCGAAAGCGAUCAUGCGGCCCACGUGUGGCCUCACCCCCUCGGCCCCACAUGCUCCCUCUUCCUUAUCCCCAUAUGUUUUCUUUUCCUUAUCCCCUCAAGCACCACUCAUUUUUCUUGCUUAUCCCUCCAUGCCCACCAUUCAUCCCAUGCACCUCUCUCUCCCCCUGGCCUACCUUCAAUCAAUAGCUUGCCGGCGAUGGAAGACGUGUGUGGCGAGCUGGCAGUCCGGGGCUGCACACAUGAAGCCGCGGAGGUGCGUGAGCACGACUCUCGGCGAGCGAAGAGGCGCGACGCCAAAGCUACAUCGGCAACUUGGUAUUUCCACUUUGCAACCUGAUACGACGAGUGGAGGGUGGUUUGCUGCAACCAGUGGCCCCUACUACUACGACCAACGAGGUGGCUGUGCCGUGAAGAUGGACGACGGAUGCGGCGAUUUUUGUGCUGAAACCCACGAUAGCCUCUGCUACAACCGGCCAGCCAUUUUGCUGGAACCAGCAUCGGUAAUUGCUGCCAUCAGUCACGCGAUAUGCUGGAACCAAACGCGCACUCGUCGCCGGCGUUUUUUUUCUUUUGCUAGAGUUGGGUGUUUGAUUUUGCUGGAAGUAGCUAUCCUUUUUGCUACAAAUCGACCACACGAGUUCUCCCUGUUUUGUUGUUUCUGCUGUAUCCAAUGUCUUGUUUUGCUGGAAACAACCAUCUUUUUUGGUACAAAUCGACAACAGGAAUUCUACGUGUUUAGUUGUUUUUCUGCUGCAUCCGAUGUUUCGUUUUGCUGGAACCUAGUAUUUUUUUAUUCAACCGAUCAAUGAAGGAUUGUUGCUUUCAGAUCUUUUUGCUAGAUACUUCAGUGCAAACCGACGCCCACGGCGAGCCGAAACCAGAGCAUGGUGAUGAGCUGGAACCGGCGAGCUUGCUUUGCUGCAAUGAGCCGCAAGCUACUAUGAUCAGCAGGGCGAAGAGCUGGAACGGGCGUCCAUUUUUGCUGGGAUGGGCGCCCAAAUUUGCUGGAACAGGAGUCCCGGGUUGCUGCAUCGUUCGCCGCACAGGGGAGCUACGAUGUUGGCGAGCUGGAACCGGCGCCCAAUUUUGCUGGAGCCGGCAUCUCGACAUGCUGGAACCGUGUGAAGGCAGGCGGCGGCUGAAUGGCUGAUUCGACGCUGAUGGUGUUUUGCUGCGACCAGUGAUGGAAAAGCUUCAACCAUCGGGCGAGUUGUCGAUGGCGUGAGGGGUGACGCCGGGGUGCUGCGGCCGACAACACGGUCGGUGCUGCGCGUUCUACUACAACGAGGAGUCGACCACUAGUUGUUGCAUCCGGCCACGUUGACGCUGCCACCAGCUACAACGAGAAGAUGCCAUGGCGAGCUUCGCCGCCGACGGCCGGCAGCGAAGGUACUCGUGCGGGACGGUGAGCAGAAUUGCGCGCGGCUGCGGCCGCCCGCAAGGGAGAGCCGAUCUGGGCCUUCGUAGACUCUCGUGACAAACGAAACAGCAAGGAGGGACCGGCAGAUGGAGCGGUUAAGGUCACUUCAAUCGAGCGUUGCAUGAGGAACCGGCCGAAAUUUUGGGCCGGUCCGCCGGCGCCUAGUGCUGGCCCUUAAAAAAAAGUAGCGUUCCUUUUUCUGCCAGACGGAGUGAUUUGUCCAACAUGUUUUUCUUGGGAACCGCCUUAAUCAUCUCAUCUUUUUGGUUCAAAAAAAUCGUCUCAUCUUUUAUUGACUUAUCAAAUAAAUUAUAUUUUCUUUCAUAAGUCAAAAUAAGUGAUUACAAAAUAAAAUCAUGGGUAAGAUUUGUUAAGUAUUUUUUUACACAAUCACAUAACAUAAAGAUGUAAAUUAUGGGAUAAUGUAUUGUAAUAUAAUAUAUAAUAUUUAUGCCCCAUAGCGACACGGGCAAAUAUCUAGUUCUGCUAGCAAAAAGACUAAUUACAAAACAAUAAAACUGAGCUAGCUACACGCCACCACAGCGAUUCACCGCUUUUGGCCGUCCGAUCAUUUGUUAGACGCCCCAGAUCUUCCAAUUGUCCACUGGCGGUCGCUUGGUCAUUUUCACCGUGCCUCACCCAAUGUAAAAGGGCUGCUGCUCCGGAAAGCAACCUGUGGGUCAUGUAGUUAAUUGGGCCCAGAAGCAGCCCAAUUGGUUGUGUACGUCAGCCCAUGCUAGGUUUCCUUUCCACAUCGACAGAGAAAAGAAAAGAACAAUUCAUCCUUCUCCUCUUGUUCAUACCCACGGUGCAGGGUGUCUAAUUUCUCAUGUUCCUUUCGUGCUAGGAAGCUCGUGGGGAUUGACCAACUGUCAGUUUGUUGGAGUUUGAUCUGUCCCGAUGGGCGACAAACAUAUAGCUGACUGAAGGCACGAGUAUGGCCUAUGGACUAAAGGAUUUGUUCCUUUCCCUCGGUGGCAACAUCCUAUAUGGCAGUACCUUUUCGCCUCCUUUUACCAGCCGUAUAAUUCAGUGAGUCGUUAGUAACUGUUUUGAUUGGUUGUUAGUAUUCCGGCACUGCCUUAUAUAUGGAUAUUCAUUGUUGAUAUGUGUUACAUGGUGUGAUCCCGAUCGACUCCAAUAUGGACACCCAGGCACCACACCCAGGCUCAUGCAAAUGCUCAAAACAGCCCGGUAACGCCACCACUUGUUGAUCAAAACGUUGUCCUUCUGAGUACUGAUUAGGAUUACAUGCAACCUUCUUGCUGGAAAUACGCUUCUGAAAAAAGAUGCUAAGCUGGCCUGAUAAGAUUGGCAUUAGGCUUUUGCCGUAGGAUCCUGGAACUCUGAAUUCUAGGAACAGCACCUACCAGGUUACCUGAUGUAAUCCGUAUCCUUGCAUGAGGUUUGGAGUACGUGGUUUUUCAAUUUUUGUUGGACAGUUUUAGUCGAGUUAGGUGUGUUCAAGGAUUAGCUUUGGUUUUCCCAUUUUACUCGCUAAGAAAGGUAACUGAAAUUUUGUUUCUGCUCAAUUUCAUUAGGUUGCAAGAAAAUGACUGGUUGAAAUUGCUUUCCUAAACAAAGUAAUAGAUGUACAAUAUUGAUCAACAAAUGGGCAACAAGUCAACAACGACCCAGUAGAAAUUUUAUUGUGCUGAAUAGGGCCAAGUAUAUUAUCAAACCAUUGUUGGUAAGAGGAUAAUUUACUAUGAUUCAGUUGGCAAAGAGGCUCUGAUCUGCAGUUUAAAUGACGAAGAAAUACUGGAACAUGGGGAAGAGAAGCAUGUUUCACAAAAGAAGAAGAUCCGCUAAUAUGGUAAUAAUACAUCCUAGUUAAAUAGAUUGGUUUUUCUGUAUUACGUGCUCUUCUGUCGUGAACUGCAAUUGAUUACCACAACAUGCUAUGUUUUCAUCCGUUCAAGUCUGAAGAAUGGGUACUAUCUAUCAGUCUAUAUGUUUGAAUUUUUUUUCUAAUAUCUCUACUCCUAAUGAAGCAGUUGGUAGCCUGGUACUCCGGUUUUAUUUUCGUCCGGUUUUAUUUCGUCCCACCUCCCACCACUCCGUACUACUGGUUUUUUAUCUAUCUACAAAUCUCCCCUCCCACUGGUUUAAGCCGGUUAUCAAUUUUUGGUAAUGCAAUAAAAGUCAUACGGGAAUAAAUCAUAUCACGGUCGGCAGUUAAUCUCAAACCUGCCAAGAGAUUUGGUAACAGAAUAAAUUCAAAAGGAAGGGUGGGGGAAUGUUCCUAUACAUAAGGAUGGUAAUCUCCAUCGCAUACCAUUUACUCCAGAAUCAAUCGCAUUAAUAAUCUCCAUCGCAUAAAUAAUUACUCCAAAAUCAAUCACAAUCAUAAUCUACAUCGCAUAAUUAACUUCUUCCUAUGACCACCUCGCUCCACCAAUCCCACCUGCCGUUUUCUACCAUCACGAUCGAUUUUCUCGCGUCCUCUCCUACACGCACAAAAAUAUAGGCCCAGCCUCGACCGUGGGCUGGGACUCAUCCGUCGCGCACCGCCUGCUCUGCAACGACGCCCAACGCAACCUCUUCUUUGAUGCCCCCGCGCACCCCUCGCCGCCGCCACCAACGCCCUGCGCGUUCGCCUCUACGGCCUUGAUGAUUGCACCCGCUUUCGUGACGUCCUCGCGCUCAAGCGCCGCCGGCGCAUCCACGCCUGCGUCAGCCAUGCCGAGGAGGUUGAGGAGCCCCUCGAGCCGGCCCUUGCCCUCGCCUGCGUCAACGACCCCGCCCAUCUUGGCGGGGGCGAUUCCCCCAUCGCCCGACUCAUCUCCGACGAGUAUGGCAUCGGUGGGUACGCCGCGUCGUUCGUAUGCUUGGCAGGUUCCAGAACACCCCGCGACGUGUAUGAGGCUGCUAAGCUUGACCAUGGCGAGGGGCUCGUGCUCGAGCUCGACGAGACGCAAUUCGAUCUCGGAACCAACUACGAGCUGGAUGGUGAGACUGCAGAGCAGGCAGGGGGCGCGACGAAGAUGGAAGUGGCGGCAGUUCAAGCUUGUCGCUGCCGAAGACCCUAGAGAGGUGCGUGAAGAGACCUGGUUAGUUUUGUUGGGCCCCACUGGUAGAUGCUCCAUGUCUCCUCCUCUGGUUCCUUGUGCAUUAUUGGGUUGUCUUAAUUUUCAGUCAGGAACACGUAGCCGUGAAUUUUUUUGAUUAAUAUUGAUGUCAUCGUUACAUAUUGGUACCGGGUAGAUUUGAUGUAUUAUUGUUAAGCUCUCAAGACCAGGCCUGGUUUUACAGAUGUUUAGCGCACCGGUUCCUGUUCAUUUACAACACAGCCAUGCGAUCUAUUAAGUGAUGUUUCUCUGAAUUUAUGACAGGUAAACUGCGGUAAUAACAAAUCAGAUGUCAUCUCUCAUCUUGCCGAUUCAACCUUGGAAGAUAUGGUAGAGACGAGAGGCGGUUUGGUCCAUCUGGUGGAAGGGGGAGUGGAGAUAGUAGGAGUGGAAAGCAACUCAGUCCAUCCUGGCGGAAGGGAUAUAUAUAGGCUGACAUGUCAUCGGUGCUGGGCACCACAGGCAAGUGCUGUUUAGUUGAGUCCCAAUCACGAAUUAGAAAAAAAUUCUUUGGGUUCUUGGAUAGAUGCUUAUGGUUUGUUGCGUCAUUUUUCAGGUUCAAUAUGCUGGCUGGCGCCGAGCCUCACUACUGAGUUGAAGAACUACUUGCAACGGUUGCCAAAAGUUGUGUUAAAAAAAUAGGCCCACCUUCAUAAGGAUGAUGUAAAUUGCAGCCAUACUCAGGUUUAUUCUUUGUUCCCUGCAUAUUUUUAUUUAACCACGUUAUGUUUUAGCCACUAGAUGGAAAAUAGAAAAAGGAAACGGAGAGAAUCACUUAUUUUCGUGAUAUGAUAUUUAUUUAAUAGUGAUUGCUAUUUGUUUUGAAUAUUUAAGCAUAAGGAUACCACAAUUAAAUUAUGGUUACAACACGAAAGUUGUAGAGUAGUUAAUCUCUAUCUCUACUCCUAAAGGGGGAGUUGGUAGCCCGGUGCGCAGGUUUAUUUUCGCCUCACCGAUUUAUUCUCCCUCACCUCCCAGCAUCCCCUCCACGCUGGGUUUUCUCCGUCCGACUAAAAACCAAAUCAAUUUGCAUGAUCCUCCUUGUUUGUUUUUCGGCUAAUGUCCUCCUAUCCUAGAGCAUGUUCAUCUGACUAAUCUUCUUAGUUAAUGCCCUCCUUGCCUGGAUCAUGUUCAUCCGAUUGACAAAGGCUUGGCCAUCUUGUAAUAGUAGAUGGUGAAGUGGAUAUAUAUACUACUCCCUCCGUCCGAAAAUACUUGUCAUCAAAAUGAAUAUAAAGGGAUGUAUCUAGAACUAAAAUAUGUUUAGAUACAUCUCUUUUUAUCCAUUUUGAUAACAAGUAUUUCCGGACAGAGGGAGUGCUUCAGUUUGCAUGAGAACAACCGCUUAUAUGUGUGCCUCAAUAGUAAAGUAGGAUUGCUUGGAUUAUUUUCUGUAGUAUUUUUUCCAGUUUUAAAUGUUUAGUUUCUUAACUUAUUAUGAGGCUUGCAUCGAUCAAAGAAAUCAUGCUCCCUUGGCUUAAUCAAAUGUACUUAUGUUUGCUAAUUUAUUUUUAGUGUGUGUUUCCUCCUACUAUCUUAUUAUUCUAUAGCUAACUAUAUUUUGGAAUCUGGUGGGUGCAAAGAAAAUGGCAGUUUCUAGAUUUCUGUAGUAUUUCUGGGUAACAACAGGUUCCAAAGUGACGGGCAUUGCUAAAUCAGAUAACAUACUAUUCAAAAAGAGAACACAUUCAUCCCUUCAUUUUAGAGAUUCAAUAAAGCAAGCAAAACUUGGAAUCCAAGUCAGAAUACCAACUAUUGUACUACUGAAUGCACAUUUAUUUGCCGACAUGAAACUAUCUAUCACAUGUAGGUGUGUUUGCUCCUCGGAGCAUAGCAAAAUGAUAUGCUCUUACAUAAACAUUAUCUUGCUUACAGUGUUAAUUCAAAGCCUUAAUUCAAGGUCGGAUCUUGCUUACAAUGUCAAUAUAAUCGCUUUUAAUCUCUUUCAAGAUUAAUAAACUGCACAUGCAUGGCACGCAAAUAGGACAAACUUGACUAGAUCUACACAUAUAUUUUUAUCACUUCUAAUAUCUCAUCGACUGUUUACAUGCCAUAUUGCAUACCAAGAAUACAAGAGUGCUGACUUUAUUUUAUUUUAUUUUAUUUUAUUUUAUUUUAUUUCUGAAAUAGUUCCCAAUUAGGCUUACAAUUAUUUUAUAUUAGUGUUACUUCCUUUGUCAAGCUUAUGAAGAAUGUAUUUCCUUGAACAGUAUUUCAUCCAUUUGGAUUUAGGUGACAUGUGUGGUGGCACGAGAAAAUGGAAGGCCCUAAGCUGAAGGAGAGCAUCAAUUGACAUGAGUGAUAAGCAAUAUCUAUUAGAAACACAUACUAUCAGGCUAAUGCAAACCACUUGGGUAUGAAGUAUACUUACCACAACUUUCUAGGUGUUGAUCAACUUGUGUUUUCUUGUUAGUAAAAGAAACAUGUUGUUUUUUUGUGGUUCAUGGAUUCAUGCUCAAUGUUGAAUUAUUAUCUGAUCUGCAGAAGCAUGUCUUACUGCUGCUCAAGGUCACAUGAUUUAUAAUUUAUAACUACAAUUAUUUAAAUCAGUAUCUUGCACGAAGUCCUGACAUCUGGCUUUAUCAAAGAUUCCACUAUGUUUAUUUCUCCAUCAUAUCGCACAAUGAAUAAUAACAGUAGAUAGAUAUCCCCUUUUUAUGCAAUGAAUUUCAUGAAAUAAAACAGCGUCCAUCACCGUCUCUGAUGUAAUCUUAAGUGCACAUGCAUGGCUUAAUGUCACUGCUAUCUCGUAGUUUCACAUGCUAUUCAAGUUUACGGCAUACAGUACUUAACAUAUAAGUUGUGUCAUAGUAUUAGUGUCAUCUUUGGCUGCUUCCUUUCUUGAAUUUUCCGAUGACAGUGUACAUGCCUUAACAUAUUCGAAGUUGUUGAUUUUUUUGUUGCAAAUAUAAUAUUUAGUAAUUUAACGUGAGCCCUUGCAGGUCCAAUUAAAGCUAUUUGACCAGAAGCUAGGUGAUAUGUGCUCAAAAGAAUCUACCCUGUUAUGCACCAGUUUUUUGCCUUAACAUUGUUUCUGCAAUUACACUAUAUAUCUUGUAUUAACUGGAUUUUUAAGAUGACGAUUAAGGAAUUCAUCUACAAUUAGGAACUUACUUCGCGACAAGGAAGGUCCAGUGGUUGGGCAACAACAUGUGGAAGGAUAAUUACUGGAUACAUUUUUUUAGCGAACAACAGCGGAGCGAUUUGAUGUCUCAAAACAUGUAAGCUGACUUGCCCUCCAUGGAAUGGAAUGACUACAAAAACUUUUGUCAUUUCAUCUAAGAAUAUUUUAAAUUAGUUAAUAAAUCAUACAGACUUGAUAUUUUCUUGGUCUCAUGCAACUAUGUGUGGUUUCUUACUUUACUCCACAAUCAUCUGUGGCAAUUAUGAGGUAUUUUUCGCCAUUCGUAUUUAUUCCUUAAUUUUACUAUGAAUAUAUGAGAGUACACACCAAGGGGUUCGCAAAAAGUACAAAAAAACUAGGAGACAAGCACGAGUCACCUUAUGAGGUGAUGAUGUAGGAGACACAAUGAGGUGAAAGAGACGUGAUGGACAUAGAAGAGUAAACCCACGAGGAUAAAGAGAUGUCAUGCACAUAGAAGGAGGAAGCGAGGACCUCGAUCCACAUUAUCAAAGACAUAGAUAAGAACAAGAGUAUCACACUUCCCACAUCGACCAACUAAUGACACAUGUUGCUAUUGGGGCAUAUCACCCUCCCUUGCAUUAUACAUAUUAAUAUUAAGAUGAAACACUUCGUUGAAUGCAUUUCUAUUAUAUUGUUCUAUGGCAACACCCGAGCAUUCUGCUAGAAAGGAUGCUCGGGUGUAGACAGAAUCAUAUAUUAUAUCAUUAUUAGUAUCAACAUGUUUCUAAAUGUUUUCAUACUCAGUAUAUGAUGUUAGAUUCAACAUGAGAUCUAAAGUUUUGUGUGAAGCCAAAUAUGCAGGUGUUAGCAAUACUGUUUGAUAGCUUGGGGGUACGAUGUGGCAAACGCGCAACGGCUGGCUAGCUGUGUUGGAGAGCAAGAGAUGUCCAGCGAGAAACAUCCCACUACAUGUUGGGGAAUGUAGUAAUUUCAAAAAAUUUCCUACGCACACGCAAGAUCAUGGUGAUGCAUAGCAACGAGAAGGGAGAGUGUUGUCUACGUACCCACGCAGACCGACUGCGGAAGCAUUGACACAACAUAGAGGAAGUAGUCGUACGUCUUCCCGAUCCGACCGAUCCAAGCACCGUUACUCCGGCACCUCCGAGUUCUUAGCACACGUACAGCUCGAUGACGAUCCCCGGGCUCCGAUCCAGCAAAGCGUCGGGGAAGAGUUCCGUCAGCACGACGGCGUGGUGAUGAUCUUGAUGUUCUACCGACGCAGGGCUUCGCCUAAGCACUACAACGAUAUGAUCGAGGUGGAAUAUGGUGGCAGGGGGCACCGCACACGGCUAAGAAAUGAUCUCAAGGAUCAACUUGUGUGUCUAGAGGUGCCCCCCUGCCCCUGUAUAUAAAGGAGCCAAGGAGGAGGGGCUGGCUGGCCAAGGAGGGUGCGCCAGGAGAGUCCUACUCCCUCUGGGAAUAGGAUUCCCCCCCAAUCCUAGUUGGAAUAGGAUUCCUUAAGGGGGGGAAAGGAGAGGGGGGGCCGGCCACCUCUUCUAGUCCUAAUAGGACUAGGGGAGGGGGGAGGCGCGCGGCCACCUUGGGCUGCCCCUUUCUUCUUUCCACUAAAGCCCAUUAAGGCCCAUAUAGCUCCCGGGGGGUUCCGGUAACCUCCCGGUACUCCGGUAAAAUCCUGAUUUCACCCGGAACACUUCCGAUAUCCAAACAUAGGCUUUCAAUAUAUCAAUCUUUAUGUCUCGACCAUUUCAAGACUCCUCGUCAUGUCCGUGAUCACAUUCGGGACUCCGAACUAACUUCGGUACAUCAAAAUGCAUAAACUCAUAAUAACUGUCAUCGUAACGUUAAGCGUGCGGACCCUACAGUUCGAGAAUAAUGUAGACAUGACUGAGACACAUCUCCAGUCAAUAACCAAUAGCGGGACCUGGAUGCCCAUAUUGGCUCCUACAUAUUCUACGAAGAUCUUUAUCGGUCAGACCGCAUAACAACAUACGUUGUUCCCUUUGUCAUCGAUAUGUUACUUGCCCGAGAUUCGAUCGUCGGUAUCCAAUACCUAGUUCAAUCUCGUUACCGGCAAGUCCCUUUACUCGUUCUGUAAUACAUCAUCCCGCAACUAACUCAUUAGUUGCAAUGCUUGCAAGGCUUAUGUGAUGUGCAUUACCGAGAGGGCCCAGAGAUACCUCUCCGACAAUCGGAGUGACAAAUCCUAAUCUCGAAAUACGCCAACCCAACAUCUACCUUUGGAGACACCUGUAGAGCUCCUUUAUAAUCACCCAUUUACGUUGUGACGUUUGGUAGCACAGAAAGUAUUCCUCCGGCAAACGGGAGUUGCAUAAUCUCAUAGUCAUAGGAACAUGUAUAAGUCAUGAAGAAAGCAAUAGCAACAUACUAAACGAUCGGGUGCUAAGCUAAUGGAAUGGGUCAUGUCAAUCAGAUCAUUCAACUAAUGAUGUGACCUCGUUAAUCAAAUAACAACUCUUUGUUCAUGGUUAGCAAACAUAACCAUCUUUGAUUAACGAGCUAGUCAAGUAGAGGCAUACUAGUGACACUCUGUUUGUCUAUGUAUUCACACAUGUAUUAUGUUUUCGGUUAAUACAAUUCUAGCAUGAAUAAUAAACAUUUAUCAUGAUAUAAGGAAAUAAAUAAUAACUUUAUUAUUGCCUCUAGGGCAUAUUUCCGUCAGUCUCCCACUUGCACUAGAGUCAAUAAUCUAGAUUACACUGUAAUGAUUCUAACACCCAUGGAGUCUUGGUGUUGAUCAUGUUUUGCUCGUGGAAGAGGCUUAGUCAACGAGUCUGCAACAUUCAGAUCUGUAUGUAUCUUGCAAAUCUCUAUGUCUCCCACCUGGACUAGAUUCCGGAUGGAAUUGAAGCGUCUCUUGAUGUGCUUGGUCCUUUUGUGAAAUCUGGAUUCCUUUGCCAAGGCAAUUGCACCAGUAUUGUCACAAAAGAUUUUCAUUGGACCCGAUGCACUAGGUAUGACACCUAGAUCGGAUAUGAACUCCUUCAUCCAGACUCCUUCGUUCGCUGCUUCCGAAGCAGCUAUGUACUCCGCUUCACAUGUAGAUCCCGCUAUGACGCUUUGUUUAGAACUGCACCAACUGACAGCUCCACCGUUUAAUGUAAACACGUAUCCGGUUUGCGAUUUAGAAUCGUCCGGAUUAGUGUCAAAGCUUGCAUCAACGUAACCUUUUACGGUGAGCUCUUUGUCACCUCCAUAUACGAUAAACAUAUCCUUAGUCCUUUUCAGGUAUUUCAGGAUGUUCUUGACCGCUGUCCAGUGAUCCACUCCUAGAUUACUUUGAUACCUUCCUCCUAGACUUAUAGCAAGGCACACAUCAGGUCUGGUACACAGCAUUGCAUACAUGAUAGAGCCUAUGGCUGAAGCAUAGGGAACAUCUUUCAUUUUCUCUCUAUCUUCUGCAGUGGUCGGGCAUUGAGUCUGACUCAACUUCACACCUUGUAACAUAGGCAAGAACCCUUUCUUUGCUUGAUCCAUUUUGAACUUCUUCAAAAUCUUGUCAAGGUAUGUGCUUUGUGAAAGUCCAAUUAAGCGUCUUGAUCUAUCUUUAUAGAUCUUUAUGCCUAAUAUGUAAGCAGCUUCACCGAGGUCUUUCAUUGAAAAACUCUUAUUCAAGUAUCCCUUUAUGCUAUCCAGAAAUUCUAUAUCAUUUCCAAUCAGUAAUAUGUCAUCCACAUAUAAUAUCAGAAAUGCUACAGAGCUCCCACCCACUUUCUUGUAAAUACAGGCUUCUCCGAAAGUCUGUAUAAAACCAAAUGCUUUGAUCACACUAUCAAAGCGUUUAUUCCAACUCCGAGAGGCUUGCACCAGUCCAUAAAUGGAUCGCUGGAGCUUGCACACUUUGUUAGCUCCUUUUGGAUUGACAAAACCUUCCAGUUGCAUCAUAUACAACUCUUCUUCCAGAAAUCCAUUCAGGAAUGCAGUUUUGACAUCCAUCUGCCAAAUUUCAUAAUCAUAAAAUGCGGCAAUUGCUAACAUGAUUCGGACAGACUUAAGCAUCGCUACGGGUGAGAAGGUCUCAUCGUAGUCAACCCCUUGAACUUGUCGAAAACCUUUUGCGACAAGUCGAGCUUUGUAGACAGUAACAUUACCAUCAGCGUCAGUCUUCUUCUUGAAGAUCCAUUUAUUCCCAAUUGCUUGCCGAUCAUCGGGCAAGUCAACCAAAGUCCAUACUUUAUUCUCAUACAUGGAUCCCAUCUCAGAUUUCAUGGCUUCAAGCCACUUUGCGGAAUCUGGGCUUACCAUCGCUUCUUCAUAGUUUGUAGGUUCAUCAUGAUCUAGCAGCAUGAUUUCCAGAACAGGAUUACCGUACCACUCUGGUGCGGAUCUCGCUCUGGUUUAUCUACGAGGUUCAGUAGUAUCUUGUCCUGAAGUUUCAUGAUCAUCAUCAUUAGCUUCCUCACUAAUUGGUAUAGGUGUCGCAGAAACAGUUUUCUGUGAUGUACUACUUUCCAAUAAGGGAGCAGGUACAGUUACCUCGUCAAGUUCUACUUUCCUCCCACUCACUUCUUUCGAGAGAAACUCUUUCUAUAGAAAGGAUCCAUUCUUAGCAACGAAUAUCUUGCCUUCGGAUCUGUGAUAGAAGGUGUACCCAACAGUCUCCUUUGGGUAUCCUAUGAAGACACAUUUCUCCAAUUUGGGUUCGAGCUUAUCAGGUUGAAGCUUUUUCACAUAAGCAUCGCAGCCCCAAACUUUAAGAAACGACAACUUUGGUUUCUUGCCAAACCACAGUUCAUAAGGCGUCGUCUCAACGGAUUUUGAUGGUGCCCUAUUUAACGUGAAUGCGGCCGUCUCUAAAGCAUAACCCCAAAACGAUAGUGGUAAAUCAGUAAGAGACAUCAUAGAUCGCACCAUAUCUAGUAAAGUACGAUUACGACGUUCGGACACACCAUUACGCUGUGGUGUUCCGGGUGGCAUGAGUUGCGAAACUAUUCCACAAUUUUUCAAAUGUACACCAAACUCGUAACUCAAAUAUUCUCCUCCACGAUCAGAUCGUAGAAACUUUAUUUUCUUGUUACGAUGAUUUUCAACUUCACUCUGAAAUUCUUUGAACUUUUCAAAUGUUUCAGACUUGUGUUUCAUCAAGUAGAUAUACCCAUAUCUGCUUAAAUCAUCUGUGAAGGUGAGAAAAUAACGAUAUCCGCCACGAGCCUCAAUAUUCAUCGGACCACAUACAUCGGUAUGUAUGAUUUCCAACAAAUCUGUUGCUCUCUCCAUAGUACCGGAGAACGGUGUUUUAGUCAUCUUGCCUAUGAGGCAUGGUUCGCAAGUACCAAGUGAUUCAUAAUCAAGUGGUUCCAAAAGUCCAUCAGUAUGGAGUUUCUUCAUGCGCUUUAUACCGAUAUGACCUAAAACGGCAGUGCCACAAAUAAGUUGCACUAUCAUUAUCAACUCUGCAUCUUUUGGCUUCAACAUUAUGAAUAUGUGUGUUACUACUAUCGAGAUUCAUCAAAAAUAGACCACUCUUCAAAGGUGCAUGACCAUAAAAGAUAUUACUCAUAUAAAUAGAACAACCAUUAUUCUUUGAUUUAAAUGAAUAACCGUCUCGCAUCAAACAAGAUCCAGAUAUAAUGUUCAUGCUCAAUGCUGGCACCAAAUAACAAUUAUUUAGGUCUAAUAUUAAUCCCGAAGGUAGAUGUAGAGGUAGCGUGCCGACCGCGAUCACAUCGACUUUGGAACCGUUUCCCACGCGCAUCGUCACCUCGUCCUUUGUCAGUGUUUGCUUAAUCCGUAGUCCCUGUUUCGAGUUGCAAAUAUUAGCAACAGAACCAGUAUCAAAUACCCAGGUGCUACUGCAAGCUCUAGUAAGGUACACAUCAAUAACAUAUAUAUCACAUAUACCUUUGUUCACCUUGCCAUCCUUCUUAUCCGCCAAAUACUUGGGGUAGUUCCGCUUCCAGUGACCAGUCUGCUUGCAGUAGAAACACUCAGUUUCAGGCUUAGGUCCAGACUUGGGUUUCUUCUCCUGAGCAGCAACUUGCUUACUGUUCUUCUUGAAGUUCCCCUUCUUCUUCCCUUUACCCUUUUUCUUGAAACUAGUGGUCUUGUUAACCAUCAACACUUGAUGCUCCUUCUUGAUUUCUACCUCCGCAGCUUUCAGCAUUGCGAAGAUCUCGGGAGUAGUCUUGUUCAUCCCUUGCAUAUUAUAGUUCAUCACAAAGCUCUUGUAGCUUGGUGGCAGUGAUUGGAGAAUUCUGUCAAUGAUGCAAUCAUCUGGAAGAUUAACUCCCAUCUGAAUCAAGUGAUUAUUAUACCCAGACAUUUUGAGUAUAUGCUCACUGACAGAACUGUUCUCCUCCAUCUUGCAGCUAUAGAACUUAUUGGAGACUUCAUAUCUCUCAAUCCGGGCAUUUGCUUGAAAUAUUAACUUCAACUCCUGGAACAUCUCAUAUGCUCCAUGACGUUCAAAACGUCGUUGAAGUCCCGAUUCUAAGCCGUAAAGCAUGGCACACUGAACUAUCGAGUAGUCAUCAGCUUUGCUCUGCCAGACGUUCAUAACAUCAGGUAUUGCUCCAGCAGCAGGCCUGGCACCCAGCGGUGCUUCCAGGACGUAAUUCUUCUGAGCAGCAAUGAGGAUAAUCCUCAAGUUACGGACCCAGUCCGUGUAAUUGCUACCAUCAUCUUUCAACUUUGCUUUCUCAAGGAAUGCAUUAAAAUUCAACGGGACAACAGCACGAGCCAUCUAUCUACAAUCAACAUAAACAAGCAAGAUACUAUCAGGUACUAAGUUCAUGAUAAGUUUAAGUUCAAUUAAUCAAAUUACUUAAGAACUCCCACUUAGAUAGACAUCCCUCUAAUCCUCUAAGUGAUCACGUGAUCCAAAUCAACUAAACCAUAACCGAUCAUCACGUGAGAUGGAGUAGUUUUCAAUGGUGAACAUCGUUAUGUUGAUCAUAUCUACUAUAUGAUUCACGUUAGACCUUUCGGUCUCCGUGUUCCGAGGCCAUAUCUGCAUAUGCUAGGCUCGUCAAGUUUAACCUUAGUAUUCUGCGUGUGCAAAAACUGGCUUGCACCCGUUGUAGAUGGACGUAGAGCUUAUCAUACCCAAUCAUCACGUGGUGUCUGGGCACGACGAACUUUGGCAACGGUGCAUACUCAGGGAGAACACUUCUUGAUAAUUUAGUGAGAGAUCAUCUUAUAAUGCUACCGUCAAUCAAAGCAAGAUAAGAUGCAUAAAAAGAUAAACAUCACAUGCAAUCAAUAUAAGUGAUAUGAUAUGGCCAUCAUCAUCUUGUGCUUGUGAUCUCCAUCUCCGAAGCAUCGUCAUGAUCACCAUCGUCACCGGCGCGACACCUUGAUCUCCAUCGUAGCAUCGUUGUCGUCUCGCCAAUCUUAUGCUUCUACGACUAUCGCUACCGUUUAGUGAUAAAGUAAAGCAUUACAUCGCGAUUGCAUUGCAUACAAUAAAGCGACAACCAUAUGGCUCCUGCCAGUUGCCGAUAACUUGGUUACAAAACAUGAUCAUCUCAUACAAUAAAAUUUAGCAUCAUGUCUUGGCCAUAUCACAUCACAACAUGCCCUGCAAAAACAAGUUAGACGUCCUCUACUUUGUUGUUGCAAGUUUUACGUGGCUGCUACGGGCUUAAGCAAGAACCAAUCUCACCUACGCAUCAAAACCACAACGAUAGUUUGUCAAAUAGACUCCGUUUUAACCUUCGCAAGGACCGGGCGUAGCCACACUCGGUUCAACUAAAGUUGGAGAGACAGUCGCCCGCAAGCCACCUAUGUGCAAAGCACGUCGGGGAAACCGGUCUCGCGUAAGCGUACGCGUAAUGUUGGUCCGGGUCGUCUCGUCCAACAAUACCGUUGAACCAAAGUAUGACAUGGCAGUAUGACUUAUAUCGCCCACAACUCACUUGUGUUCUACUCGUGCAAAUAACAUCAAACCAUAAAACCUAGGCUCGGAUGCCACUAUUGGGGAACAUAGUAAUUUCAAAAAAAUUCCUAUGCACACGCAAGAUCAUGGUGAUGCAUAGCAACGAGAAGGGAGAGUGUUGUCUACGUACCCACGCAGACCGACUGCGGAAGCAUUGACACAACAUAGAGGAAGUAGUCGUACGUCUUCCCGAUCCGACCGAUCCAAGCACCGUUACUCCGGCACCUCCGAGUUCUUAGCACACGUACAGCUCGAUGACGAUUCCCGGGCUCCGAUCCAGCAAAGCGUCGGGGAAGAGUUCCGUCAGCACGACGGCGUGGUGACGAUCUUGAUGUUCUACCGACGCAGGGCUUCGCCUAAGCACUACAACGAUAUGAUCGAGGUGGAAUAUGGUGGCAGGAGGCACCGCACACAGCUAAGGAACGAUCUCAAGGAUCAACUUGUGUAUCUAGAGGUGCCCCCCUGCCCCUGUAUAUAAAGGAGCCAAGGGGGAGGGGCUGGCUGGCCAAGGAGGGUGCGCCAGGAGAGUCCUACUCCCUCUGGGAGUAGGAUUCCCCCCCCCCCCCAAUCCUAGUUGGAAUAGGAUUCCUUAAGGGGGGGGGAAGAGAGAGAGGGGGGCCGGCCACCUCUCCUAGUCCUAAUAGGACUAGGGGAGGGGGGAGGCGCGCGGCCACCUUGGGCUGCCCCUUUCUUCUUUCCACUAAAGCCCACUAAGGCCCAUAUAGCUCCCGGGGGGUUCCGGUAACCUCCCGGUACUCCGGUAAAAUCCCGAUUUCAUCCGGAACACUUCCGAUAUCCAAACAUAGGCUUCCAAUAUAUCAAUCUUUAUGUCUCGACCAUUUUGAGACUCGUCGUCAUGUCCGUGAUCACAUCCGGGACUCCGAACUAACUUCGGUACAUCAAAAUGCAUAAACUCAUAAUAACUGUCAUCGUAACGUUAAGCGUGCGGACCCUACGGUUCAAGAAUAAUGUAGACAUGACUGAGACACAUCUCCGGUCAAUAACCAAUAGUGGGACCUGGAUGCCCAUAUUGGCUCCUACAUAUUCUACGAAGAUCUUUAUCGGUCAGACCGCAUAACAACAUGCGUUGUUCCCUUUGUCAUCGGUAUGUUACUUGCCCGAGAUUCGAUCGUCGGUAUCCAAUACCUAGUUCAAUCUCGUUACCGGCAAGUCUCUUUACUCGUUCUGUAAUACAUCAUCCCGCAACUAACUCAUUAGUUGCAAUGCUUGCAAGGCUUGUGUGAUGUGCAUUACCGAGAGGGCCCAGAGAUACCUCUCCGACAAUCGGAGUGACAAAUCCUAAUCUUGAAAUACGCCAACCCAACAUCUACCUUUGGAGACACCUGUAGAGCUUCUUUAUAAUCACCCAUUUACGUUGUGACGUUUGGUAGCACAGAAAGUAUUCCUCCGGCAAACGGGAGUUGCAUAAUCUCAUAGUCAUAGGAACAUGUAUAAUUCAUGAAGAAAGCAAUAGCAACAUACUAAACGAUCGGGUGCUAAGCUAAUGGAAUGGGUCAUGUCAAUCAGAUCAUUCAACUAAUGAUGUGACCUCGUUAAUCAAAUAACAACUCUUUGUUCAUGGUUAGCAAACAUAACCAUCUUUGAUUAACGAGCUAGUCAAGUAGAGGCAUACUAGUGACACUCUGUUUGUCUAUGUAUUCACACAUGUAUUAUGUUUCCGGUUAAUACAAUUCUAGCAUGAAUAAUAAACAUUUAUCAUGAUAUAAGGAAAUAAAUAAUAACUUUAUUAUUGCCUCUAGGGCAUAUUUCCUUCACUACAAUGGGAAACCGAGCGGGAAGGGGAGAGUCAGAUAGGAAAACCGAAGUUUUUGUCGUGGGAUGGGGGUUUUGUGUUGCGCCCUUGGGUUGGAGAUAACAAAUGGCGGAUAGUCCGGACAAUGACAUUUCUCCCCCACAUAUGAUCUGGAUUUCGGAAAGUCUGGACUGUCCAGACGGUUGAAUUUUGGGGAGCCCAUUGGGCACCGGACGUAUGAGGAAGAAAUGAGUUUCGAAUUUAAAGACGACUUUAAUCAUUUAUUUAAUUCAUUUAUGUGUGUUGUAGCCCGUAGCAACGCACGGGCAUUCUACUAGUAUAAGUUAUAACUCUGCUAUACUGCCAAUUUCUUGCAUGCUCAUAUGUAUGUUGUAUGGCAUUUAAUUUCUUUUGGUGGUCCUUUCCCUCUUUGAAUUGAAUGCCAACAUAGUAGAACAUGUACUGCAUAAGGUUCAGCAGGCUGGGUCUAACAAGGUAAAUCAUUAUUUCUCAUGCGGAAGUUUGCAGGAUUAUGCACACACAUUGUUUCGUUUCGUUGACCAUAGAACAUGAUUUGCUCUUUAUUUUCUCUCCUAUGCCUAAGGCUUUGAGCUCCUUCGAAAUCAUUACUAUAAUGAAAAGGAUGAGAAGUGAGUCCUUUAGACAUGGAACACACAUAAGUUCUUUGAAGAUCAUUUUAUUUGGGAUGUCAAUAACAGUUCUACCAAUUUGCAUCAAUUGUUUAUAUGCUAUACAAACCAUCACUUGGCCCUCUAUUGUCAUUAAUCAGAUGCACGGAAUUUGUGAAUAUAUAAAUAUUCUGGCUGAAGAUAGAACCAACUUGUGAUGGUUCCAUGUGGUACAUAUAACUGAAAUUGGUCAGAUGUUUCUAUAUUUCUUUCGUUAAGACAUCUUUUUUCCUUUGUUAAGAUGUGUCUAAGAUGGGCGGGCGCCGCAACGCGCGCCUUUAUGAUCUAGUACAGCGUGAUGGCGCUGGUGCGCAACUGUUGGUGCAGCACAUUCACCAUUAAUUAUAUUGUUUUUAACACAGUAUAAACGUAAGUGCUCAUAUAUUUAUACGCGCAUAUAUUCACCCCUUGUGAAUGCACGUACGCACACUCUAUCCCUAUGAGCACCUCUGAAAGACUGAGUUAGUAUAUUAUCUAAAUUUUACAAAGUCACCAUAGGCGCCUAUCCGGGAUAAAUGCAAGCAUCAUGACUUGAAUUCUGAUGGGCUGGGGAUAUCACUGUGCUCCUAACCAUUCAACCACAUAUUGGUUCACCGGGACUAAUCAUACCGGUGUAGCCAAGUCUUAUUUAAAAACUAUGGACCAAACUUCAUCCCAUAUAGUUGAACAACACUAGGGGUAGAAACGGAUCGGAUGCGGAUCGGAUAGUGCUCUUGCCACUUCCAUUUUCAUAUUUUCAAAACGAAUACGAAUUCGAAUACGGAUGUUAUCGGAUACGGAUGCGGCUCGGAUAUUAUUCAAAUACGGAUACGUAUCGGAUAUUUUCUUGAUUCGGAACGGAUACGAAUAAUAUCAACAUAUUGCUUAAGUAAAUCAGUCGAUAGCUAUGUGAACUGAAAUAAUCAACUUGUGACAUACAAUAAGUCAAUGAUAAAUAGGUUUAUGAAUAAAUACUAUUGUAAUGCAUAAUAAUUUAUAAGUUUAAUCAUAUAAAGAGUAAAAUUUGACCACUUAUUUGGCUUUUAUGUUGGAUAAUUGGAAUAUUGAGUCUAGAAAUUUGAAAAUUACCUCCCAUAAUCUUAUUCGGAUACGGAUAUAUCCACUUUCAUAUCCAUGUUUGUCUCAAAAUCUCCUACCAUAUUUUAUUUUUUAUUUGUUUAAUAAAUUCGGAUACGGAUAAUUUCCAUUUCCAUUUUGGUUCGGAUGCGGAUGUUUCGGAUACAAAUAGGCAUUUUCUCGAAUACGAAUAUCGGAUAUUUCGGAUUAUCCGCUAUCAAUUUCCACCCCUAAACAACACGCUGUUGCGGUCUGAUGUAGUUGCUACUCAUUUGUUUCUAAAGUAACUUGUAAUCAACUACUUCUUCCGUUUUGAAAUAGAUGACUCAACUUUAUACAAAGUUAGUAUAAAGUUGAGUCAUCUAUUUUGGAACGGAGGGAGUACUUCUGAUGAGAACAAAUCAAUAAAGUACCUUGUAAUCAAACUACUGAGAUAAUUUGUACCUUCUCUCCGUACCCAUGUAUAAUCAAGUAGCCUCUUAAUGUACUUUUCCUUUUUCUUCUUUGAAGCAAGUUUAUGAAGAAAAGAAUGAUGUAUUCUGAUCUCCAUGAAGCAACCAAUUAGCUCGUCCUCUCUAUAAAAACAAUUCUUCAUGAUACCGAAGAUUCUCAAUAUCUAGCCUAACAAAAAGAAGGUUAUCAAUAUUUGAAGAUCUUUUUUAUCCCUAAUCUCCCCGUCAGAUCACUUUGUCUCCAUUUCUGAAGGUCUUUUUUUAGCUUCGAUAUCCUCUUAUUUGGGCCUUUCAGAACCUCCAGAUCCCUCUGGUGUAGAUCUUUAUGAACAGCCUUGGUACAAUCAGGCAAGGGUGGCCUAGCUUGCUGGAUCCCAAGCCAAUUGGACUACCGCAUUGACGGUUUCUUCACACAACCAACGGGCUUCAAACUAUUUUCGGGCCUUCGAUUGUUGAGACAAAACAAAUUUUAAAAAAAUAUGAAGGAAAAUAGAUCAAUGGUCUGAAUGGACACGGUGCUCAUGAACCAACGCAUAUGGCAAUUUAUCCGCACACGCCUCAUUACUUGGUGAUGCCCUGGCUCCAGGUAAACUGAUCACCAAUAACAGUGGUCUGUUGAAGUCCACACAACCUCUGAAAUUAUGCAUCAAUUGUUGAGGUCGAACAUUACCACCCUCCUUCUCACUUGCAACCAAUCUCUCAUUAAAAUCACAGUAACUAACCAUGGACCAGCCGCAUUCCGUUGCGCGAGUAUGUCCAGGACAGGUGCUUCCUAUCCCAAGUUGGUUGUCCAUAAUAUCCUGUCAAGCGCCAUGAAGCAUCAUUUUCACCCAUAACAAUUGCAUCAAUAAAUUUUUCUAAAGAAUAGUUCAACACCACUUUAUUAGAUUGGUUAUAAAAAAGGACAAGGUUCCCCGAGCGACCAUCACUCUUUUUUUUUCAAGAAACUUCCAAUCUAUUUAUCGUCAAUCAUGGUGGUACAACAAACACCAGAAAUAAUAAAAAUUACAUCGAGAUAUGUAGACCACCUAGCGACGACUACAAGCACUGAAGCGAGCCGAAUGCGCGCAGUCGUCAUUGCCCCUCCCACACACGCAUACCUUACCACUAUGAGUACCUCCGACAAACUGAGGCGGCAUAUCAUCUUGAGAUGGACGAAGUCACCAAAGGCGUCUCGUAGUCGACGGGAACGUCUCCUCCCAUUAAACGCGCAUCGCAGAAAAUCCUGAAAUAAAUUCAGCAAUAAAUGUGAGCAAAAGGAUAUGAACUCUGGUGGACUGGGGAUACCACUGUCCACCUAACCAUUCAACCACAGAUUGGUAUUGCUAUGUACAAUUUGGGGUCAUGAUGACCGGAUAGCAGAUUGUGGAGCUUGUAUUUUUUUGUUUCUAUAAUAGCCGCAUGACCUGAAAGGUUUCUUUCCAUCCGGGGCAAUUAUCGUGUCAGUUAAUGGGGGGUGGGGGUGGAUAAACUGGUCACACGAUGCAUAGUUUUAACUUUCUACACCGUGAUAAAAUAAAAGGAAAUGAUUUUCUUCACCUGGCCUAUCCAUCGCGGGGCAUCCGCCGCCUCUAGUGUGCAGACGCGUGUCCUAUGUGGACCCUAUGCGUCGCUCUAUAUUUUUUCUUAUUCCCACCCAUGGUUGACCUUUGUUGAAGAAAAAGCUACAACAAGACCUCUGUUGCAAAAGUUUAUAUAUGCAGAAGACCUCUAUUUUUGCAAAAAAAAAAAGGAUUCUACAACAUGACCUAUGUUGCAAUGAUAGGCAAUAAAGAAAAAGAACAAAAGAUUAAACAAUUUGCAACAACUCUCUUGUUGCAGAAGGCAAAGCACAAUAAGGCUCAUGUUAGAUAGAUCGGAGGAAGAGAAAAAUGGUUUGAGGCUUUUUACGGUUAGUCCGUAGUUCGAAGCCUUUUGCAACAAAUCCUCUGUUGUAGAGAGACGGGUGCAACAACAUGCUUGUUGCAACUUCAUUUGCUCAUGUGAAGAAGAUGUAGUGACUUUCUUUGUCUUAGUCCGACGGCUAUGGAGGUGGACGAUCUUUUCCAUUGCUUAAACCGGCCAACACCUAGUGCAGCCCAUAAAAUAAUUCCCGGUGCCUUUCAAGCCUAUGCAACUCGUAUGGAACACACUUUCUACUCUCUUGAUGUAUGGAUUGUCUCAUCGUUUCUAGAGGAAAAUAAUUUGAAAUUGAGAGGCACGGAAGAGAUUGAUGUUUAUCAGUUGAGAAUUGAUGACAUGAAGGUGCCCCGCUGCCCACCGCAUUGCAUGGUUUUGUGUGGGCCCAUAAUAUUUCAGCACCUAUAAAUGAGCUCAGUUUGGGCAUCAUGACAUUUAUGUGUGUCAAACCACAUAUUUGUCGCGUCAUAGGCUCUCACCGAUUCCACGCCUCCCAACUAUAAACAUUCACGAAGAAUUAAAGCAUACAACCAGCCUACUAUAUCAAGUUGUGCUGAGAGCAGAGCAUCUCCAAUAACUGCCCUAUAAUAGGGCACCAAAAUUUGCUUGAAGUAAAAUUUGGGAUACAAAAAAGUGUUUUUAGGGCACGAGAAAGUGAGUGUCUCCAAAAGUUGCCCUAAAAUGGGGUAUUGAAUAGGGCACCAUUGCUCCAACAACUGCCAUAAAAAUAGGGCAACCGCACCACAUCUUUCUUCUCCACAUAUGGAUAGAAAUUAAACUUUGCAAGAUUUCCUUGAGUGUCUUCUCCACCAACAGCUGCUCACAAAAUUCAAUUACUGAACUUGAGUGUCUUCUCCACCAACAGCUGCUCAAAAAAUUCAACUACUAAAACCAAAUCUAACAGGAAGACCGACAAAAUCAAAGUAGAUACUAAAUUUGAGUGUCUUCUUUUAAUUUCUUUGUAUUGCACAGAACUACACACCAAAAUGGCAUGGGAUACAAUUUCAGCGAAUAACAAACGAAAUUGACAAGAAGUUCCUUUGUAACUUUCUUCAGUAAAAGGAACAGUGAAAGUCUGAACUUUCUGAAAACUAACACCUGCAUCUUGGCCUCUUACACUUUCGUCAGAAAAAGGAAAGCUGGAAACUGAACUUUACUAAUGAAUUACAUCGGGACUAGCAGCGGCGCAUUCAAGCAGCACCUCCACGACCCGUACAAACUCCAACAACCCAUUCUGCAGCACCACCACACAAACCACUAACUAGCCAUCAGGCUUUCAUUUAGCUUUGUACUCUCUCUGUAAACUAAUAUAAGAUUAUUUAGGUCACUAGAGGGAAUAUAUGAUAAAUGUGUUUGCUUUCGCAAAAAAAAAAAAUAUGAUAAAUGUGUUUGGAAGAGGGCUAACUUGCUUUAUUUGGAAUCGCCAAGGUGAAUCUAACUUCCUUUUUUCUUGGCAAAACAAAAUAACUGCACUAUCGUGCUACAAUCAGCAACAGAAUUGGUCACUACCCAUGCCAUGCAAUUCAGCUCAAUUCACUCUAUUAAAAAACUUCAAGUCAUAGCACGAGAAAUUUCCACUUUAAAGGAAUCGAAACAUCCUCACCACGCAACCCAGUAGAAAUGAAACAAUCCUACAUGCUCAACCCACAACAACGGAAGCUCCGAGCCGCACUAGCCCCGGGUCACCGCAAUUGCAUUUGAGAACUUAGCCAUGGCCUCGACAACAACAUUGAAGAAGGCGUCGGAGCCAAAGCCCUUUGUCUGGAUGUGCUAGCAAAGCUCCGCCACCACCCAUGGAGCUCGCUCAGCUUGGAUGGGUGGCCGGAGCCGAAUCUCGCAGGGAUAGAGAUCAAAUCGGACCUAGGGAAGAGGGGACGAGGUGAGGGGCGCUAGAGUUGGGGGAGGCAUCAACCGCAGUGAUGCUCGCAAGAGUAGAGGCAGGAAGGGCACGUGGGAAAACACCCGACCGACGAUUUUGCGACAGCGGCCCAAGUGUAGAGUUGGAUCAGCCGACGGUGAUUUGCAGGUGUAGAGGCAGGAAGGGUGCGUGGAAAACGCCCGACCGGCGGUUUUGCGACAGUACUUUAUGCUGUAUUUUUGGGCAGCGCUGGAAAUUUUGGAGCAAAUUUUACAUUAAGGGCAGGUAUUGGAGCAGUGUUUCUGGCCCCAAAUGCCCUAAAUACGUUAUGGGGAGAUUCUCUGAGUUGAUGGGGAGUUUAGGUGUUUACACACACUCCAAAUCACAAGUCUUACAACGGUUGUUUCAGGCCCUAAAUAAACACACAAAAUCUGUCAGGCAGAUUAACGUCUUACACCCACACAAACGGAAGCAAUUUGCUUGGCUUUACAUAUAUCCAAGGUAACAUUUCUAGAUCUGUUGGAGAAGCUCGUAUACAUUGGGUGCAUGUUGCAUGGAGAAGCUCAUACAAGUUAAAUGUGCAUGCUGAAUUUGGUAUCCAAGUCGAUCAGCUCAGGUACAAUGAGGAAUAUUACUUAGUUCCACAGUAUCUCUAACAAUGGUUGGAGAAGCUACACAUUUAAAUCUCAGACAUGCAUGUAUUUCGGAACGGAGGCAGUAGUUUUUUACAGAAUGUGACAUUUGGAACUAUAGACUGUUCUUUUCAACUACUCAGAAGGCUAACUAAAAUUUCAGAAACAUUUAUGAGAAAGAAAUAGAACAGCAUCACAUCAAAAAAAAAAGAUGGACGCAGGGCAGAAUUACAUAUAUCAAGAGUACUGCAAAAUUAAUAGCUGCAUAAAAUUCAGUCACAAACACAUAUAAUCCCACAUUACAUAAAACUCAGUCUUGGAACAAAACCAGACUAGCAUUAAACAGCUAAAUUGGACAGAACACAGGUAAGACAGCUUCCACAGCCAUAGCAGCAAACACGCCAGGAAUCACUAGACCAUGCCGUCCUCCCUCGAUGCCUGGCAGCCUGGAUGUAGGAUGAUGCUUCCCCUGCUCCAAGGCGCCUACUUGGAUCGCUGCCUCAUCUUUCGGCGCUUCCUCUUGAGCCUCCUCAUCCUCUUCUUCUUCCACUGCAAAUUUAAGUAACCGCACAGUUCAUCAGCACAAAUUGCGUAGUACUACUCUAGUAGAUGCAUGGCCAAAUAACAAGAAAGUACAAUUUGUUUUGGAAUCAGAAGAUUUGAGUGUUUCAUUGGAUAUCAUCACGUGAUUUUCAGAAACACGGACCAAUUGUUCUUCAUCAUUUCCCAAAGACUGACAAUGUUGAAAAGGCAAAUAGGAAACAACCAAACUAAGAUAUCUAAAGAACUAGCUAAGCAAAGUAGAGAUCUGCAGUCGGUUUGACAUUCAGAAUGAGUAGGAGGAUUUUAUCAUCAAAUGGAUCAGACGCCAAUAGUCAUCCUCAUCAUGCCAACCGACGCAAUUGAACGAAAGAAAGAACAAAUCUAGAAAGAAACACUGGCAAAGAAAACACUAUUCUCUCAGACAAAUGCCUCGAUUGUCCACAUGGUUUUAUAGAAUGGAUUACAUCGGACUCGUCAUAUGUUUUCAUCAUCACAGAGAACUAUAAACAAACAUGCGCAAAAAAUAUCAACUCAGUCAACAGAAACUACAUCCUAGAAUCUCUGAGAACAGGCAAAUCGAACUAUAAUAGCAGGUUCUCUCAGACAAAUUUGCCUCAUUUUUGUCCCCACGGUUGAAUGGAAUGGAUUGGAUCGGACAUCUAAUCAGUGUUGAUCAUCACAGAGAACCACUAAUUACGACAUCGAGCAACAGCAACAGCAGGAACGAAAGCUCGAUAAACACUAGCACAUGCCCAGAUCUACCGCGGUCGCGAAGCAGCUAAUAGGAGAG